RNAcentral lists this ribosomal RNA (513 nucleotides) under uncultured bacterium. RNAcentral describes it as "partial 16S ribosomal RNA". It matches the Rfam family "Bacterial small subunit ribosomal RNA", at positions 30 to 523 of the family's 1533-position model. The record is from RNAcentral.
AUUGAACGCUGGCGGCAUGCCUAACACAUGCAAGUCGAACGGCAGCACAGUAAAGACUUCGGUCUUUAUGGGUGGCGAGUGGCGGACGGGUGAGUAACGCGUAGGAAUCUGUCCUGGAGAGUGGGAUAACCCGAGGAAACUCGGGCUAAUACCGCAUGAUAUCGAGAGAUCAAAGGCAGGGGACCCUUCGUGGCCUUGCGCUCUAGGUUGAGCCUACGUCGGAUUAGCUAGUUGGUGGGGUAAAGGCCUACCAAGGCGACGAUCCGUAGCUGGUCUGAGAGGAUGACCAGCCACACUGGGACUGAGACACGGCCCAGACUCCUACGGGAGGCAGCAGUGGGGAAUCUUGGACAAUGGGGGAAACCCUGAUCCAGCGAUGCCGCGUGUGUGAAGAAGGCCUUCGGGUUGUAAAGCACUUUAGGUGGGGAAGAAAGGUAAUGAGUGAAUAACUGAUUGCUUUGACGGUACCCGCAGAAUAAGCACCGGCUAACUCUGUGCCAGCAGCCGCAGUAA